AUGGUGUAGGGCUCUAUUUUCGGCUGUAGUUAACCCAGCGCAAUUCUCAAAUGCACAAUAUUUUGCCAUUUCAACCUCUUAAAGCAGGCACUCUGCUCUUUUCAAAGCAUUGCGCCAGGGUGAUAUUAGAGACAGAACAAAAGCUGGUCUUAGCAGUAGGGCUGUUGUCUAUGGCAUGGAUUUAGCCUGCGGAGGCACCCGGUAUCCUAAUCAAUAGAAUAGCAUAUCGCCAAUGGUAUAUUAAAAUAUCACUUUUGGGAGCAGUUUUUCGAUAAUAUUUAUGUCCAGCUCCUGUAAAAACAACUUUAGACACAUGCGAUGCCCAUUGAAUGAAAGAUGUAGAGUUUCUUACUUCCGUUGAGGACAUGCUGGACAAUCACUCCAACAUCCUAAUCAGCAGGAACGAAGACAAAAGACAUUCCGAUCUCUCAGCUGUAUGUCACGAAUUCAUGUACCCAUUCAAAAUGCUCAAGUUCUGUUCCAACUAUUUCAGUGGCUGUGACUGAAUGAUAUGCGGAUCAAGCUUUUCAAUAAACAGGCAAUGACAGCCAUAACGGCCGAUUGAGAUUGAGAGGGAACAGAAUGCGACCUGCAGAUGUUCCUUUGACUUCCUUUCACACUGCUCUGGAGAACCGCUGUUGGCUGUAGAGGGAUCUUUCGAAAUAGGCAUCGACUCAAUACUACUGUAAAAUAGUAAUUGCCACCAUUCUAGCUGCACUAGGAACAGUUUUAAGAUGUAGAGAUGGAUGGACGAGGCAUACAUACAAUGGAUACACAGUCAUUCUUUUUCUUACUAAACAUGAAUAAAUCCUUAAUUUCA
Molecule: long non-coding RNA, 820 nt
Organism: Oncorhynchus masou masou (cherry salmon)
Lineage: Eukaryota; Metazoa; Chordata; Actinopteri; Salmoniformes; Salmonidae
Exons: 2
Source: RefSeq, a predicted model, not a curated record